UUACGGCCACAUCACGUUGAAACACCGGUUCGCGUACGAUCACAAAGUUAAGCAAUGUUUGGCCAGUCAGUACCUAGAUGGGUGACUGCAUAGGAAUACCA
Non-coding RNA from Acanthosepion pharaonis, 101 nucleotides. The record is from the annotation of a GenBank genome assembly. NCBI's taxonomy places the organism in Eukaryota, Metazoa, Mollusca, Cephalopoda, Sepiida, Sepiidae.